RNAcentral lists this ribosomal RNA (471 nucleotides) under uncultured bacterium. Its description in RNAcentral is "partial 16S ribosomal RNA". It matches the Rfam family "Bacterial small subunit ribosomal RNA", at positions 28 to 507 of the family's 1533-position model. The record is from RNAcentral.
GACGGACGCUGGCGGCGUGCCUAAUACAUGCAAGUUGAGCGCUGAAGGUUGGUACUUGUACCAACUGGAUGAGCAGCGAACGGGUGAGUAACGCGUGGGGAAUCUGCCUUUGAGCGGGGGACAACAUUUGGAAACGAAUGCUAAUACCGCAUAAAAACUUUAAACACAAGUUUUAAGUUUGAAAGAUGCAAUUUCAUCACUCAAAGAUGAUCCCGCGUUGUAUUAGCUAGUUGGUGAGGUAAAGGCUCACCAAGGCGACGAUACAUAGCCGAUCUGAGAGGAUGACAAGGCACAAGGGGCCGGAGAAACGGCCAGGACUCGUAGGGGAGGAAGCAGGGGGGAAGAUAGGGCAAUGGGAGAAAGCAUGAUCCAGCAGUGCCGCGUGAGUGAUGAGGGCCUUAGGGUUGUAAAGCGCGGUUACCCGGGAUGAGAAUGACAGUACCGGGAGAAUAAGCUACGGCUAACUCCGUG